CCUACGCGAGGCUGCAGUGAGGAAUAUUGGUCAAUGUGCGUAAGCCUGAACCAGCCAAGUCGCGUGAGGGAUGAAGGUUCUAUGGAUCGUAAACCUCUUUUAUAAGGGAAUAAAGUGUGGGACGUGUCCUGUUUUGUAUGUACCUUAUGAAUAAGGAUCGGCUAACUCAGUGCCAGCAGCCGCGGUAAUACGGAGGAUCAGAGCGUUAGCCGGAUUUAUUGGGUUUAAGGGGUUCGUAGGCGGCCUUUUAAGUCAGCGGGGAAAGUCUGUGGCUCAACCAUAGAAUUGCCGUUGAAACUGGGAGGCUUGAGUAUGUUUGAGGCAGGCGGAAUGCGUGGUGUAGCGGUGAAAUGCUUAGAUAUCACGCAGAACCCCGAUUGCGAAGGCAGCCUGCCAAGCCAUGACUGACGCUGAUGCACGAAAGCGUGGGGAUCAAACAGGAUUAGAUACCCGUGUAGUC
Molecule: ribosomal RNA, 460 nt
Filed under: uncultured bacterium
Lineage: Bacteria
Description: partial 16S ribosomal RNA
Rfam family: Bacterial small subunit ribosomal RNA
Source: RNAcentral